GCGAUGACGUCACCCAUCGUGCUCUUUCAACACGAGACCGAAACGUGCUUCUUUCUUUCUGUUCGAGUUCGCUAAGGUGUCGGUGUUCGGCUCUCUGUGGUGGCGAAUACAUUUCUGUAAACUGCCACAAUGAGCUCAAGCAAAUAUACAGCAGAAACACCAAAGGCGGAUGAGCGCCUCUGCACAGCUGCCCUGAAGAGAACAUCGGCUCUACAUAGUUUGCAGCUUGUCCUGGAAGGUGACUGAGCCAUGUGCAGCAGUUCUUGCUCUGCUGUGACAUCACUGAGGAAUUUGGAGCACUUCAUCUGAACAACUUUCAAGGUGAAGAGGAUGUGGGAUAUUCAUCUACUUAGUCCUGAGGUUGAAAGGCGGUUUGCCCAACUACUGUGAAAAUAAGCAAACAUCCAUAUGUAUCUCCAGUGAUGGCCUGGAGAUGAAAAAGUAAUACUGGAACAUCAGGUUUACUUCCUGCUGGAUGCCAUUUCUCAUGCAUGCAAUGGGGCUAGUGACUAAACAGUCAAGUUUGAUUCCCAAGGAGUGACUAAUGCUAUAUAGUUAAAUUAACUGGUCAGCUUUACUAGUGCUUUAGUUGUGUGCUGAUGAAGCCAAAGAAAGCAUGUUGUGUUUAAAUUGGUUGUGUAUAUAUAUUUGUUUUACUGGGGGUAACUACACUGUAUAGUAUAUGAAGGAAAUAAUGACUGCAUUAAAGAUGGUUUAACAGUCUGAACAUA
This is a long non-coding RNA of Colossoma macropomum (tambaqui), 731 nucleotides long. RefSeq lists it as uncharacterized. The record is from RefSeq and is a predicted model, not a curated record. The transcript has 6 exons. Lineage: Eukaryota; Metazoa; Chordata; Actinopteri; Characiformes; Serrasalmidae.